This 302-nucleotide long non-coding RNA is filed under the name Capsella rubella. RNAcentral describes it as "long non-coding RNA (CRUB_LNC001979)". The record is from RNAcentral. Lineage: Eukaryota; Viridiplantae; Streptophyta; Magnoliopsida; Brassicales; Brassicaceae.
GAAUAUAUAUAAAAUUUUACUUUUAAGCAAACACAAUAUUACUUGUUACAACCCUAGCUAAGCUAGAAUACUCAUAAGUAUUCUUUUUGAAAGAGCUAGGUCCAUUCUAAUUUUGAUUUGGGUUUCAUUUUUUUUUUUUUUUGGGGUAAAAGCUUUGGGUUUCUUAAACCUAGCUAUAGGCUACACUAAACUGCAUCUUAUCUUUAGCUAAUAGUACUUAUAAAUUUAAGUUCAUUAACUCGUACUAGUAUAUUCCAAACCUAACAAUAUUUAGUUUUCUGAUGAACGAUCUAGUUUUUUUU